GACGAACGCUGGCGGCGUGCUUAACACAUGCAAGUCGAACGGAAAGGCCCUGCUUGCAGGGUGCUCGAGUGGCGAACGGGUGAGUAACACGUGGGUGAUCUGCCCCUUACUUUGGGAUAAGCCUGGGAAACUGGGUCUAAUACUGGAUAGAACCAUGCUGUAGGUGGUGUGGUGGAAAGAUUAGUUUCGGUAAGGGAUGAGCUCGCGGCCUAUCAGCUUGUUGGUGGGGUAAUGGCCUACCAAGGCGUCGACGGGUAGCCGGCCUGAGAGGGUGGACGGCCACAUUGGGACUGAGAUACGGCCCAGACUCCUACGGGAGGCAGCAGUGGGGAAUAUUGCACAAUGGGCGCAAGCCUGAUGCAGCGACGCCGCGUGGGGGAUGACGGCCUUCGGGUUGUAAACUCCUUUCAGCCAUGACGAAGCCCUUGUGGUGAUGGUAGUGGUAGAAGAAGCACCGGCUAACUACGU
Molecule: ribosomal RNA, 468 nt
Filed under: uncultured bacterium
Lineage: Bacteria
Description: partial 16S ribosomal RNA
Rfam family: Bacterial small subunit ribosomal RNA
Source: RNAcentral